GGUGGGCAUGGUAGUGCACGCCUGUAAUCCCAGUGGCUUGGGAGGCUGAGACAGGAGGAUCGUGGAUUCAAAGCCAGCCUCAGUAAAAGCAAGGUAUUAAGAAACUCAGUGAGACCUUGUCUCUA
This 125-nucleotide small RNA is filed under the name Marmota monax (woodchuck). Lineage: Eukaryota; Metazoa; Chordata; Mammalia; Rodentia; Sciuridae. The record is from RNAcentral.